UCUACACUGUUGGUUAAGGGCUUGUAAGUAAAGCAUUUCACUGUGAGGUCUACACUGUUGGUUAAGGGCUUGUCAGUCAGCAUUUCACUGUAAGGUCUACACUGUUGGUUAAGGGCUUGUAAGUCAGCAUUUCACUGUGAGGUCUACACUGUUGGUUAAGGGCUUGUCAGUCAGCAUUUCACUGUAAGGUCUACACUGUUGGUUAAGGGCUUGUCAGUAAGCAUUUCACUGUGAGGUCUACACUGUUGGUUAAGGGCUUGUCAGUAAGCAUUUCACUGUAAGGUCUACACUGUUGGUUAAGGGCUUGUCAGUCAGCAUUUCACUGUGAGGUCUACACUGUUGGUUAAGGGCUUGUCAGUAAGCAUUUCACUGUGAGGUCUACACUGUUGGUUAAGGGCUUGUCAGUAAGC
Molecule: long non-coding RNA, 410 nt
Organism: Oncorhynchus keta (chum salmon)
Lineage: Eukaryota; Metazoa; Chordata; Actinopteri; Salmoniformes; Salmonidae
Exons: 3
Source: RefSeq, a predicted model, not a curated record